RNAcentral lists this ribosomal RNA (272 nucleotides) under uncultured bacterium. RNAcentral describes it as "partial 16S ribosomal RNA". It matches the Rfam family "Bacterial small subunit ribosomal RNA", at positions 83 to 354 of the family's 1533-position model. The record is from RNAcentral.
CUCCGCCGGCGACCGGCGCACGGGUGAGUAACACGUAUGCAACCUGCCCCUGUCAGGGGGACAACCCGCCGAAAGGCGGGCUAAGCCCGCGUACAUGCCACCGGGGCAUCCCGGAGGCAGGAAAGGCUUCGGCCGGACAGGGAUGGGCAUGCGGCGCAUUAGGCAGUAGGCGGGGUAACGGCCCACCUAACCGACGAUGCGUAGGGGUUCUGAGAGGAAGGUCCCCCACACUGGUACUGAGACACGGACCAGACUCCUACGGGAGGCAGCAG